This 71-nucleotide transfer RNA is filed under the name Marmota marmota marmota (Alpine marmot). It matches the Rfam family "tRNA". From Rfam's summary of the family: Transfer RNA (tRNA) molecules are approximately 80 nucleotides in length. Their secondary structure includes four short double-helical elements and three loops (D, anti-codon, and T loops). The record is from Rfam by way of RNAcentral. Lineage: Eukaryota; Metazoa; Chordata; Mammalia; Rodentia; Sciuridae. RNAcentral also lists the same sequence under 1 other name.
CUGGGGUUAGCUCAGUGGUAGAGUGCUUGCCUGGAAAGUAUGAGACACUGAGUUCCAUCCUCAACAUUACA